RNAcentral lists this ribosomal RNA (525 nucleotides) under Caribbiopheromera trinitatis. RNAcentral's name for it is "partial 16S ribosomal RNA". It matches the Rfam family "Bacterial large subunit ribosomal RNA", at positions 1810 to 2608 of the family's 2925-position model. The record is from RNAcentral. Lineage: Eukaryota; Metazoa; Arthropoda; Insecta; Phasmatodea; Diapheromeridae.
AAAACAUCUUUUCUUGUUAUAUUUAUGAAAUUUGUCCUGCCCAAUGAAUAAUUUAAUGGCCGCAGUAUCUUGACUGUGCAAAGGUAGCAUAAUCAUUAGUUUAUUUAUUGUGGACUUGUAUGAAUGGUUUGACGAAAUAAUAACUGUCUCAUAUUUUUUAAUUGAAUUUGAAUUUUAAGUUAAAAUGCUUAAGUGAUUUUGUUGGACGAGAAGACCCUAUAGAUCUUUAGUUUUCUAAAUUCUUCUGUUUUAGAUUAUUUUAUUAUUAUAAUUUAUUUGACUUUCGUUGGGGUGACUUUGAGAUAUUAUUAACUCUUAAUUUAUAUUUAUAUAAUUAUUUUUAUAAAUUUGACCCUUUAAUGAGGAUUAUAAGAUAUAGAUACCUUAGGGAUAACAGCGUAAUNUUUUUUGAGAGUUCUUAUCGACGAAGGAGAUUGCGACCUCGAUGUUGGAUUAAGACAAUUUUUAGGUGUAGAUGCUUAAGUAAAUAGGUCUGUUCGACCUUUAAAGUCUUACAUGAUCUGA